ACGGUGAAAGAGAGCUUGCUCUCUGGAUCAGUGGCGAACGGGUGAGUAACACGUGAGCAAUCUGCCCUUGACUCUGGGAUAAGCGUUGGAAACGACGUCUAAUACCGGAUACGAGCUGUGAAGGCAUCUUCAACAGCUGGAAAGAAUUUCGGUCAAGGAUGAGCUCGCGGCCUAUCAGCUAGUUGGUGAGGUAAUGGCUCACCAAGGCGUCGACGGGUAGCCGGCCUGAGAGGGUGACCGGCCACACUGGGACUGAGACACGGCCCAGACUCCUACGGGAGGCAGCAGUGGGGAAUAUUGCACAAUGGGCGCAAGCCUGAUGCAGCAACGCCGCGUGAGGGACGACGGCCUUCGGGUUGUAAACCUCUUUUAGCAGGGAAGAAGCGAAAGUGACGGUACCUGCAGAAAAAGCACCGGCUAACUACGUGCCAGCAGCCGCGGUAAUACGUAGGGUGCAAGCGUUAUCCGGAAUUAUUGGGCGUAAAGAGCUCGUAGGCGGUUUGUCACGUCUGCUGUGAAAACUGGAGGCUCAACCUCCAGCCUGCAGUGGGUACGGGCAGACUAGAGUGCGGUAGGGGAGAUUGGAAUUCCUGGUGUAGCGGUGGAAUGCGCAGAUAUCAGGAGGAACACCGAUGGCGAAGGCAGAUCUCUGGGCCGUAACUGACGCUGAGGAGCGAAAGGGUGGGGAGCAAACAGGCUUAGAUACCCUGGUAGUCCACCCCGUAAACGUUGGGAACUAGUUGUGGGGUCCAUUCCACGGAUUCCGUGACGCAGCUAACGCAUUAAGUUCCCCGCCUGGGGAGUACGGCCGCAAGGCUAAAACUCAAAGGAAUUGACGGGGACCCGCACAAGCGGCGGAGCAUGCGGAUUAAUUCGAUGCAACGCGAAGAACCUUACCAAGGCUUGACAUAUACGAGAACGGGCUAGAAAUAGUCAACUCUUUGGACACUCGUAAACAGGUGGUGCAUGGUUGUCGUCAGCUCGUGUCGUGA
This 992-nucleotide ribosomal RNA is filed under the name Microbacterium sp. RNAcentral's name for it is "bacterial SSU rRNA". It matches the Rfam family "Bacterial small subunit ribosomal RNA", at positions 66 to 1070 of the family's 1533-position model. The record is from RNAcentral. Lineage: Bacteria; Bacillati; Actinomycetota; Actinomycetes; Micrococcales; Microbacteriaceae.